RNAcentral lists this microRNA precursor (107 nucleotides) under Malus domestica (apple). RNAcentral describes it as "Malus x domestica MIR2118_2 microRNA precursor family". It matches the Rfam family "MIR2118_2 microRNA precursor family". The record is from Rfam by way of RNAcentral. Lineage: Eukaryota; Viridiplantae; Streptophyta; Magnoliopsida; Rosales; Rosaceae.
GAGUUUGAGGAAGUUAUUGGACUUAGUAGCUCGGUGAGAAAACAUUGAGGAUCUGGAGUUCUUCUUCUCCUACCGAUGCCACUAAGUCCCAUGAUUUCCUCUGCCUC